GAGCUUGCUCUCGGGUGACGAGCGGCGGACGGGUGAGUAAUGUCUGGGAAACUGCCUGAUGGAGGGGGAUAACUACUGGAAACGGUAGCUAAUACCGCAUAACGUCGCAAGACCAAAGUGGGGGACCUUCGGGCCUCAUGCCAUCAGAUGUGCCCAGAUGGGAUUAGCUAGUAGGUGGGGUAACGGCUCACCUAGGCGACGAUCCCUAGCUGGUCUGAGAGGAUGACCAGCCACACUGGAACUGAGACACGGUCCAGACUCCUACGGGAGGCAGCAGUGGGGAAUAUUGCACAAUGGGCGCAAGCCUGAUGCAGCCAUGCCGCGUGUGUGAAGAAGGCCUUCGGGUUGUAAAGCACUUUCAGCGGGGAGGAAGGCGAUAAGGUUAAUAACCUUGUCGAUUGACGUUACCCGCAGAAGAAGCACCGGCUAACUCCGUGCCAGCAGCCGCGGUAAUACGGAGGGUGCAAGCGUUAAUCGGAAUUACUGGGCGUAAAGCGCACGCAGGCGGUCUGUCAAGUCGGAUGUGAAAUCCCCGGGCUCAACCUGGGAACUGCAUUCGAAACUGGCAGGCUAGAGUCUUGUAGAGGGGGGUAGAAUUCCAGGUGUAGCGGUGAAAUGCGUAGAGAUCUGGAGGAAUACCGGUGGCGAAGGCGGCCCCCUGGACAAAGACUGACGCUCAGGUGCGAAAGCGUGGGGAGCAAACAGGAUUAGAUACCCUGGUAGUCCACGCCGUAAACGAUGUCGAUUUGGAGGUUGUGCCCUUGAGGCGUGGCUUCCGGAGCUAACGCGUUAAAUCGACCGCCUGGGGAGUACGGCCGCAAGGUUAAAACUCAAAUGAAUUGACGGGGGCCCGCACAAGCGGUGGAGCAUGUGGUUUAAUUCGAUGCAACGCGAAGAACCUUACCUGGUCUUGACAUCCACAGAACUUAGCAGAGAUGCUUUGGUGCCUUCGGGAACUGUGAGACAGGUGCUGCAUGGCUGUCGUCAGCUCGUGUUGUGAAAUGUUGGGUUAAGUCCCGCAACGAGCGCAACCCUUAUCCUUUGUUGCCAGCGGUCCGGCCGGGAACUCAAAGGAGACUGCCAGUGAUAAACUGGAGGAAGGUGGGGAUGACGUCAAGUCAUCAUGGCCCUUACGACCAGGGCUACACACGUGCUACAAUGGCAUAUACAAAGAGAAGCGACCUCGCGAGAGCAAGCGGACCUCAUAAAGUAUGUCGUAGUCCGGAUUGGAGUCUGCAACUCGACUCCAUGAAGUCGGAAUCGCUAGUAAUCGUAGAUCAGAAUGCUACGGUGAAUACGUUCCCGGGCCUUGUACACACCGCCCGUCACACCAUGGGAGUGGGUUGCAAAAGAAGUAGGU
RNAcentral lists this ribosomal RNA (1360 nucleotides) under Klebsiella sp. UIWRF1174. RNAcentral describes it as "bacterial SSU rRNA". It matches the Rfam family "Bacterial small subunit ribosomal RNA", at positions 76 to 1431 of the family's 1533-position model. The record is from RNAcentral. Lineage: Bacteria; Pseudomonadati; Pseudomonadota; Gammaproteobacteria; Enterobacterales; Enterobacteriaceae.